RNAcentral lists this long non-coding RNA (6055 nucleotides) under Sus scrofa (pig). RNAcentral describes it as "lncRNA (ENSSSCG00000056388.1)". Lineage: Eukaryota; Metazoa; Chordata; Mammalia; Artiodactyla; Suidae. The record is from RNAcentral.
AAAGCAAAACCUAGGCUAUCCUGACUGAGACAGUCAUAGCCAGUGUGGCUGCAGACAGUAAGGGGAAAUGUACAAACAAAAUUACCCUGAAUAUCCUAUCCUAGGCUGGUAGGAGAGCUCAGAUCAUGUGAGAUCUUAUAGGCAAAAUAAAGAAUUGGGGUUUUAGCCCAUGUCCAAUAGGAUGUGCUUAGAGAAGGUUCAGCAGGGUGAUUUGACAUGUUCCAAGUUUUCUGUAUUAAAACAAGUUAUUGGAGUUCCCACUGUGGCUCAGUGGGUUAAGGACAUGACAUAGUCUGUAGGAGGAUGCAGGUUUAAUCCCUGGCCUCACUAAGUGGGUUAAGGAUCCAGCAUUGCUACAAGUGUAGGUCUCAGAUGUGGCUUGGAUCGUGUGUUGCUGUGUCUGUAACAGAGGCCUCAGCUGCAGCUCCAAUUUGACCCCUAGCUUGGGAACAUCCAUAUGCCUUAAAAAGAAAAGAAAAUGGGGAGUUCCCAUCAUGGCACAGUGGAAACAAACCUGACUAGGAACCAUGAGGUUGCGGGUUCAAUCCCUGGCCUCACUCAGUGGGUUAAGGAUCCGGCAUUGCCAUGAGCUGUGGUGUCAGUUGCAGACUCGGCUUGGAUCUAGCGUUGCUGUGGCUCUGGCGUAGGCCAGCAGCUGUAGCCCUGAUUAGACCCCUAGCCUGGGAACCUCCAUGUGCCACAAGUGCAGCCCUAAAAAACAAACAAACAAAAAAAAAACAACAAAAAAAUGAAUAAAAUAAAACAAGUUACUGUUAAUACCACGCCCAGGCAUAUAUCCAGAGAAAAUUCUAAUUCAAAAAGAUACAUACGCUGCUACAUUCACAGCAACAUUAUUUACAAUAAUCAAGAUAUGAAGACAACCUAAAUGUCCAUUAACAGAUAAAUGUAUAAAGACGACACAUAUGCGUAUGCAUGCACAAUGGAAUAUUACUCAGCCACAAAAAAUAAUGAAACAAUGCCUUUUGCAGCAACAUGAAUGGACUAGAGAUUAUCAUACUAAAUGAAGUAAAUCAGAAGAGAAAGACAAAUACCAUGUGAUACCACUUAUAUGUGGAAUCUAAAUUAUGACACAAAUGAACUUAUCUACAAAACAGAAACAGACUCACAGACAUAGAGAACAAACUUGUGAUUGCCAAGGGGGAGAAAGAUGGAGGGAUGGACUGGAAGUUUGAGAUUAGUAAACUAUUAUAUAGAAUGGAUAAACUUUGAGAACUAUGUCUAGAUACUCAUGUUGCAACAGAAGAAAGGGUGGGGGAAAAACUGUAAUUGCAAUGUAUACAUGUAAGGAUAACCUGACCCCCUUGCUGUACAGUGGGAAAAUUAAAAAAAAAAAAAAAGAAUGGAUAAACAAAGCCCUACUGUAUAGCACAGGUAACUAUAUUCAAUAUUAUAUGAUAAAUCAUAACGGAAAAGAAUAUGAAAAAGGAUGCAUAUAUAUAUGAAUCAUUUUGCUAUAAUUAACACAUUAUUGUAAAUCAACUAUACUUCAAUAAGAUAAAUUUUAAAAAGUUCUGUUUCUCUUUGACUAGUAAACACCCCACUAAUUCCACUAGAGAAAAGGCUCUUUUUAAGAAAUCCACAAACAAGCAUUUAUUGAGCACCUUCUAUCUUUCCACAUGCCAGGCACUGCAUUAAACAUUGGAAAAUACAAAAGCGAAUAAAACAGUUUCUGGAUUCAGAGUCAGGGUUGUAAAGAGAUAUUUGUAAGAACACAUGAUGAAUGUUCUCAGCUUCAGGUCAAGCUUCAGAGGAGCAAUCAUUUGAGCAGGGUGUAGCUGAGGCUCAUAGGAAUGGAAGGAAUGUGUAGUGUAGGGUGUGGUAGACUGUAUUACUAUUUGCAAAUACUUGCUGCCCCGCCCCCACCGACAACAGGCUUGGCCACAUAAACUGCUCUCAGUGUUCUUUUUUUCCUGCCACGACAAUCAGCAAUGUUUCAGAAAAGGUCCCUGGUGCAAAGAUGAUCUGUGUGAAGCAGAGACACAGCCAACCCAUAAUAGGCAUGCAACACGAGUGAGAAAUCAUUCCGUGGUUGUCAUCCAGUAAGAUUUUUGGCUUGCUACCAGAGCGUAACCUGGCCUAUACAGAGGUGUGCAUUUCCAGCUCUUGACUUCCAGGCACAUAGUAGGAAUGUACCAUCCUGAACUUUUUAAGAAAGACAACUAAUUAGAUGGCCAUACAACUAAUUUUUGACCAAUACUAUUUUUCUUAUUACGGCUGCACCUGCACCACAUGGAAGUUCCCCGGCUAUGGGUUGAAUCAGAGUUGCAGCUGCUGGCCUAUGCCACAGCCACGGCAACACAGGAUCUGAGCCGCAUAUGUUAAGUACAUGGCAGCUUGCAGCAACGCUGGAUCCUUAACCCACUGAGCCACAGGGGAGCUCCUCCAGGAGGAAGUUCUAAAGCCAUUAUGGAAUCACCAUGCUUUCUCUUCCUUGUCAAGGUGGUUGGGAUGCUUGUGGAAGCACACAUAUUUCAGGAUGAAACCUUCUUCGGACUGUCUCUGAGUGAGUAUAUCGAGAGAAGCUCCUCUGACCUUGAACAUAUAGUAUGAGCAAGAAAUAAAAUUUUUGGUUAAGCCAAGGAGAUAUUAGGAUUGUUACGGUGGCAAACCUCACCCAUCCUGAUGGAUAUAAAAAGUGGCACCUUGACAUGGGAUAAUGUAAUAACAACAGCAAGAAAAGAAACAUUUGUGUACAGGGCAGUAAAGAACACUGAUAUCAGAAGGUAAAAGGAUGGUGAUCUAUCCGAUGAAUUUAUCACCUGUGAUCAUUUAGGAGGUGAACCUAAUGAACCAAAUGAACCUAAUGAACUAAAGCAAAAUAUUGUAAGACAAAAUGUCUGUAGCAUGUGUUGGUGGCUCUUGGAUUUAGAAACUUAUUAUAGAAAAGAGACGAGCUCAGAGAAGAUUUGGCCAGUUUGCAAGUAGAAAUAAAAGACAGUGGGGACGACAUACACAUUCAGAGAAAUGUGUUGUUUCUCAAUCUCAACUAGUAAAAUAUCAGAUUAAGAAAGAUUUUCAGCAAGAAGAGACCAAUUAAAAUCAGCCCUGAAGUAUGGCUCCAGUCAAAGAAAUGGCCUCAAACCUAUUGUUAAAACCUCUGGAUAAAUUAAGACGUUACCCGGCACAUGCUUUCAAUUAGAGAAAAGGGCUCUGGAACAGGAAGGAAAAGUAUGACUCUGCCACCCAAGUCCAAUAAGCCCAAAGCACUCAAAACCAAGUCAAGACCAGAGAGAGAGAGGGCAGGAGAGAAAGGGAGAGAGAGAGGCAGGGGUGGGGGUGGGGGGUGGGGGUGGGGAUGAUAACAAUAUGAAAGAGAGAGAGAGAGAGAUUAGCAGGCAUGAGAGCAAGAAAGCAAAGAAAUAUGGCAAACCAUAGAGGCAUGUCUAGGAAAGAACUGGCUGUGGCUCUUGGCACACGGAACACCUGGAAUCAAAUACAUAGGAAACCUACAUUUGGGGGAGAGUUAUACUGCCAAAAGAACAUCAGCCUGGAUUAGGGGAGACCAUAUUUGAGACUUAAUAUCACCCUGUUUCCCCACCCCACCCACAAUUUCUAAAAGCUGAUUUAAACGCCUAUUUGCUGUACCCACUUUAGAUGCAGAGAAGGAAGACACGGAGGGCAAGCCCAGGGGUCAUGAGAAACAAGGGCUCAGGCAGCUACACUCAGGGGGCAGAAUCAAGGUCUAAUCCGGGUGCCGGGUGGAGGGUCCCCAGCAUGCCUGCUCUGUGGAUUAGUGUCCACUGUGGUGUCCCAUCCCUUCACUGUCAAUUGGUGUGUCCACCGCAGUUAUCCUGUCUCUGUCCCACUGUUACCUAUGGAGGCCAUCCCAGGCAGGCAUCUUGUCUUUGGAUGAAGAGACAUACCUGGAGCUGAAACAGAGUCUACUCGCAUCACUCAGAAUGUGGAAAGUAAGUGUGAUAUACUAUGAUUAGAUGGGUCUUUGGGGUCAUCCCCCUGGAGGAGAAAGUGAGGGAAUUCUGCCCAUGGGAGGACAGUAAGCCAAACAUUUGGUGAACAGAAGGGGAGACUAUUCCUGUCAUUAGUGUUGUUCCCCAAAUAUUCCUGACUCUCUCCCUUCAAGACACUUGGCAGGAUUACAGAGAUUUCAAGUUAAGCAUGGCCACGUGAAUGGCCCUGGCCAAGGAUGCAUGUGCAGGAGUGCAGUGUGUCACUUCCAGGUGGAUGUUGAGAGCCAGUGAAUGAUUUGCUGCCUGCACUUCCCCCAGCCAAGACAGUAAUGAGAAGCAAGCAUCAAGAUGAAGCCUUCUUCAACCCAAGUCCACGGUGAAUGGAACUCCCCUGCAGACCCACGGUGAAUGAGAAAUAAACUUCCCUGGGGUAAGCCACUGAGAUGACAGGGUUGUUUGUUAGGGCAGCAAGGCCCAGCCUUUCCUGACUGAUAUUAGGAGUGAGAGAGGAGGAUGGAGAGCAGGAGCUAGGCUGUGAAAGGCCCCUUCGCCCACGCAAAGGGAUCUGAACCCUCUCUUGCUUGUAAGGGGAAGCCAACAAAGGUUUCCAAGCAAGGGCGUUAACAUGAACAGAUCUGCUAUUUUUUGGAAGAAAUAUGCUAUUUCUCAACAUAAGGAGAAAAUCAGCCUACUAAACCACAUAAGGCAUAGAGGAACACGCAGAACCCUUAAGCAAAAGAUAUAUAUUUAUAUAAAGUCCUAAGUCUUGAAGUUUCUAAAUACGGGAGCUCUGAAAGGAGGCUUUGAAAGGAGCUACAGAGGAUUGAGCGAGACAAUUUCUUCCAGCCCACCAUCUAAGCGCCAUUUCCCCUGCAGAAAACCAGUACUUUACAGGAAGGUGGCCCUUAGCAGAGAAGAUAUAAAAAGGGAAUGUAACACACAUCUGAAGUCAGUUUCCAGCUGCCUGUGUGACUGAGUGGGAUCCUUAACCUCUCUGGGCCUAGUUCCUCAUAUACAAAAUGUGGAUAAUAACAUAUGCGGCCCAAAAUUGUGGGAAGAAGUAGCAUAUAUAAAUUGCUCAGGCAAAUGCCUGGUUAAUAGGAGGUGUUUAAUACAUGACAGUCAUUUUUAUUACUGUUAUUAAAAUGAUUAAAAACACCAGCUCCCUGAUUACAGAAGAAAAUGAUUCAGGUCAACAGUGUAGAGGAGAAUGUUCCCUCCUUGAGGAAAAUAACUGGAUCUAGUCAUCACUGUAUCCCUACCCCGACCCCAGCUCAAUGCUUGGCUCACAGCAGUCACCGUUUCCAUCUGCUGCAGGUUGAAAUGAGAGGCAAACGCCUGGAGUAAAGGAAAGCUGUCAAGAUUUUCCUGACACCAGCUGCUACUGGGCUGUUGAAUCUGAACUCUCAAAGCCACAAAUACCUUGAAAUUCUCAGGCCAUGAACACAAGGGGAAAUUCCCCCAAGUUCAGAAGCUGAAAAGCCCCAAAACUAGAACCUAGGAAUGGAAACGGAGGCAAGUCCAACUUCAAGCCCCAGUCCUAGAGAAAACCCUGGAAGGAGCUGACUUCUGACCCUUUCCUCCCUCACCCUCCUGCCCUCACUGCUCCUCACAGGAUGAGUACACCUGGUUCUGCCAAGGCACACUCUUGCUCUUACAUUCUGGCAUCCCAUCCACGCUCAGGGAAACUCCCAGGAAGGCCAGGGCAGGGGGCUGUAGGCAAUGACCUCCUAGCCCUGGAGGCCAUGACACUACAGCAACCCAGCUCAGCGAGGUGGGUCUCACCAGCCCCACUUGCAGAUGAAGGAACUGACUCUCAGAGAAGUUGUAUGAUUUGUUCACUUCACACCGUGGCAGCGCUGGCCAUGUGAGAACCCACGACUCCAGACUUUGGGAUUCUUUCCGCCAUACACUUUUGUCCCUAAGGGGUGCGGGGAUGGGGGAGGAUAAAAUAACAACCACAGAAAAGGAACCACUUACAUGGGUCUAGCGCUUCCUAGAGGCUACACAGGAUAUGGACCCACCACCCGGCCGGAGAAAUUUGAAAUCUUGGAUCCUCCCCUGACUCGCUGCGUGACUUUUGGCAAGUGCCUGCUGCUCUCGGACUUGUUUUCCCGGAAGCAAAU